AUAUUGGGCAGUGGCCUCAGUCAGGCCCGCUGGCCGCCCUGCCACACGGUAGCGUCCAAGCCAGGUCGUGGCCCAUCGCGGGGCCCCUGCGGAGCGAGUGGGGACGCGCCCCGAACCAGGCAGCACCUUCGUGGCAUUGGCUGUGUAGGUCAAGACAAGGGCCAGGUUCGAAAAUGCCUUGACGUGGUGGAGAUCUACAACCCAGAUGGGGACUUUUGGCGAGAGGGCCCUCCCAUGCCAAGUCCCCUCCUCUCACUCCGCACCAAUUCCACCAAUGCAGGGGCAGUGGAUGGGAAACUCUAUGUCUGCGGGGGAUUCCAUGGAGCAGAUCGCCAUGAGGUUAUCUCCAAAGAAAUAUUGGAACUGGACCCAUGGGAAAACCAGUGGAAUGUUGUAGCCAUCAACGUCCUCAUGCAUGACAGCUAUGAUGUCUGCCUAGUAGCCAGGAUGAAUCCCCGAGACCUCAUCCCCCCGCCUUCAGAUUUGGUGGAAGAAGGCAAUGAGCACUAAGGUGACCUUGCUGGAGGACCUCCUGCUGUUCUGCAAACAAGGCCUUCAGAACGGAGAGG
Molecule: small RNA, 569 nt
Filed under: Pan troglodytes (chimpanzee)
Lineage: Eukaryota; Metazoa; Chordata; Mammalia; Primates; Hominidae
Description: processed transcript
Source: RNAcentral